CCCUUAGAUGUCCUGGGCCGCACGCGCGCUACACUGAGUGUCUGAGAUACGAGUCUGCCUGGUCAGGCAAGGUCUAGGUAAUCGCUAAAAGACACAUCAUGCUUGGGAUAGAUUAUUGCAAAUAUUAAUCUUGAACGAGGAAUUCCUAGUAAGCGCAAGUCAACAGCUUGCGUUGAUUACGUCCCUGCCCUUUGUACACACCGCCCGUCGCUACUACUGAUUGGAUGUUUAAGCGAGGUUCUCGAACUGCUAGCGACUUAGCUUCGGUGAGGUCGCAGUGUGGGAAGUGAACCUAGCUUUGGUGUCUAGAGGAAGUAAAAGUCGUAACA
RNAcentral lists this ribosomal RNA (329 nucleotides) under uncultured eukaryote. RNAcentral describes it as "partial 18S ribosomal RNA". It matches the Rfam family "Eukaryotic small subunit ribosomal RNA", at positions 1470 to 1796 of the family's 1831-position model. The record is from RNAcentral.